This 253-nucleotide ribosomal RNA is filed under the name uncultured bacterium. RNAcentral describes it as "partial 16S ribosomal RNA". It matches the Rfam family "Bacterial small subunit ribosomal RNA", at positions 524 to 776 of the family's 1533-position model. The record is from RNAcentral.
UACGGAGGGAGCUAGCGUUGUUCGGAAUUACUGGGCGUAAAGCGCACGUAGGCGGCUUUGUAAGUAAGAGGUGAAAGCCUGGUGCUCAACACCAGAACUGCCUUUUAGACUGCAUCGCUUGAAUCCAGGAGAGGUGAGUGGAAUUCCGAGUGUAGAGGUGAAAUUCGUAGAUAUUCGGAAGAACACCAGUGGCGAAGGCGGCUCACUGGACUGGUAUUGACGCUGAGGUGCGAAAGCGUGGGGAGCAAACAGG